UUGUAAUUACAUGUAUUACGUUAGUGAACGUAAUAGAAAAGUAAACUUUUCAUAAGUGUAAUCACUAUUGAAAAAAUGAUUUUCUUUAAAG
Long non-coding RNA from Daphnia pulicaria, 91 nucleotides. RefSeq lists it as uncharacterized. The record is from RefSeq and is a predicted model, not a curated record. The transcript has 3 exons. NCBI's taxonomy places the organism in Eukaryota, Metazoa, Arthropoda, Branchiopoda, Diplostraca, Daphniidae.